Perca fluviatilis (European perch) is the source of this 809-nucleotide long non-coding RNA. RefSeq lists it as uncharacterized. NCBI's taxonomy places the organism in Eukaryota, Metazoa, Chordata, Actinopteri, Perciformes, Percidae. The record is from RefSeq and is a predicted model, not a curated record. The transcript has 4 exons.
AGGUCAAAGAGGCCGCAGAGGCGCACAGGCCUGGCGAUGAUGGUUUUGUGAUCUCUAUCAGGGAACACAAGACUAACAAGUCCUUUGGGGUGGCCCAAAUGUUCUUAGAGACUGACGAGUUUCGAUGGCUGGUUCGGUGGCUGCAGCUGCGGGUGGCCAGCAAGCCACCGAACCAGCUGGUUUUCUUCACGGCUGGGAAGGGCCCAUGCUAAAACUUCUUGCACCACCUGCAGGUAGCGUGGGCGGAGAUCUGCCUUAAAGGGUCCCCCAACUUCACUGACCUGAGGACCGCUGUGUCUGCUCAUGUCAAGAACAACCUUCUGUCGGGCAGCAGAAGAUGGUGGCCACCUUUAUGUGCCACAACAUUACCACCGCUGACUGCUUCUACGCCCUCAGCCUGAACGUGGCCCAGUCAAAGAGGAUGAGGGAGCAUUUCCGCUAGGCCCUCACCCACACCGCGCCAUCACCGGAGCAACCAGAAGCCUCCUCCUCCUCCCCCACCAGGAAGAGUUACCGCAAGCCUGAGUCCUCCUCCAGUUCCAAGACAAAACCCCUGCCACCUACCAGGAGUCAGGGACCUCGGGACUGGAGAAGGAGAGGGAGUUUAUGGAGAGGCUGCAAAAUAUAAACACCAGAGAAGGCCCGAGAAGUCUCGUGAACACGCCAGUGUGCUUCAACCUAACUUGUGUGGUGGGAAAUGUCUUCAGCCACACCGGAAAAUAAGUUUUGUUUUUAAUACUUUGCUUUUGUAUGAGCUGGAUUAUACAGUACACCAAACGUAUUAUGAAUAAAACAACAUGGAUAUUCCA